AUUUACCAGAUUUUUAAAUCAUGUCACCUGGUAUUUUAUCUUUACACACAUGCUUUCAAGUGAAAAUUCCAGUGCAUUAUUUUCCUCAAGAGAAAGCAGUGGCAGAUACUACUUUCUAAUUUUUUUAUAUGUCACUCAAGCCAUUGGAAGCUUCAUAGGUAAAGCAUAACUUAAAUAUAAGUUUAUUCUAACUAAUCCCAAUAUGUGGCCUCAAAACAUAAGUCCAUAAAUGUCAUUUCUAAGAUUAUUUUACAUAAAUACUCAAAUUUGUUGUCAUUUUUGUAGCCAAAGCUAAGUAGAGGAUGGGGCCUGUGAAUUUAGAACCAUCCUAGUGAUAAAUAUCAAAUAUUUAGAUAAAAACCUAAAUAUUUACCCCUCUAGCUUUAUGGAGCCAUUAAAUAAUAACAUUUUUCUCCUUCUCUUCAUAGAUUUUAUAGACAAAACUAGAAAAUUCAGGUAUUUGGUAUAUACUUUUUUGUUUUUUUUGAUACCAUCUUGGUCUUGUCACCCAGGCUGUAGUGCAGUGGCACAAUCACCACUCAUCGUAGCCUCAACUUCCCAGGCUCAAGUGAUCCUCCCACCUCAGCCUCCCAAGUAGACAGAACUGUAGGCUUGCACCACCAUGUCUGGCUUUUUUUUUUUUUUUUUUUUUUUUUUUUUUUCAUAGAGCUGGAUAUCUCACCCUUUUGCUAGGGCUGAUGUUGAAUUUUUGGGCUCAAGCAAUUCUCCUGCCUCAGCCUCCCAAACUGCUGUGAUUACAGGUGUGAACCUGUGCUCCCGGCCCAUUUGAUAGAUAAAAGCCCAGAAGGACAGUUCACUCAGCUGAUGACAUUGCCCAAAACCUUACAGCAACAGAUAAAUCAUAUUAUGGACCCUCCUGGAAAAAACAGAGAUGUGGAAGAAACUUUAUUCCAAGUGGCUCAUGAUCCCGACUGUGGAGAUGUGGUGCGACUAGGUACGUUCAUGAAUUUGAUGCUGAGGAAGUGCCAGCCAUGGGGAAAAGCAGACUUUGUUUGCGAUUGGAAUGUAUUAUUUCUUCCUUUUUGUUUAGCGAGAUAGAGAGAUUGCCUCUCAGAAGAAGAAAGCGCUAAAAAUUUGAGGGUUUUCUAAAUCUGCAUUUUUACUUGUUUGAAGUAAGAUGGUGAAAAUACUUCUGUUUUUAAAUUCCUGGAUCCUAAAUUACUGUCAAAGGGAGAAACAAUGUUUCUUUUGGUUCCUAGAGCACAGCUUCUAGAAUUUAUUUAAAAGAUGUGUCUGUGUUUUGUGGUGGUCUGAGAAAAGAGAUUGGUGGCAUUUUUUUGUGCUUUUAUAACAUCGAGAACACAGCUUUCCUCAAUCAACUCCAUUUGAUGUGUCUCAUACAGUGUUGAGUACAUUCCCUCAGACAUGGCCCACGUUCCACAGCGUUUUCCCCAGCACUGCCCUGAUGUUUAUCCAAAACUCUGAACCCAGGCCAGGUGCAGUGGCUCACGCCUGUACUCCCAACACUUUAGGAAGUCCAGGAGGGAGAAUCACUUGAGGCCAGGAGUUUGAGACCAGCUUGGGCAACAGAGCAAGACCCUGUCUCUGCAAAAAUUAAAAAAGUAGCUGGGCAUGGUGGCACAUGCCUAUAAUCUCAGCUAACUUGGGAGUCUGAGGUGGGAGGAUCGCUUGAGCAGUUGGAGGCCGCAAUGAGCUAGGAUCGCACCACUACACUCCAGGCUUGGUGAUAGAGCAGCCCGUAUCUCUUAAAAAACAAACAAAAAAAAGAGCCUGAACCUUAUCUUCAGAGACUAACUUCCCUUUAAGGUGCUAAAGGUAAUUUAUGAGAUCAGUCAAUCAAGAAAUAUUUAUGAAAUUGAGAAUGAGUCCCUCUGUCAAUUGAGUGCAUUCUCCUGUUUUCAUUCAGUAAAUAUUUACUGAGCUCCUCCGGGUGCCAGAUAGAAUUCCCAGUAAUGCUUUGCAAAGACCAUCACACUGCAGUGGAUGAGCUGCCGCAGGCGCUCCACUCCCACUCUCCUCCUGGGCCUGCCCUAGGUUUGCAGAGUGUGUGUUUAGCUCACCAGCUCCCCAUCCUGAAGAUAGCUCUGUACGAGGCACACUGUUGUUUGUUUGAACAUGAUCCUGGCAACAGUGUGAUCUGGGCUGUCUCUUUGAGGGGAGUGAAACUUGUUCCUCACUGUGGAAUCCGUAUGUGUGUUUUCAGAAUGAAAGUUUUUCUCGUAGAUGUAAUCAUUUGGUUUUUAUCUUUUCAUGUUAUGGAAUUGAGAACCAGAAAUCUCAAGCAGAUUUAAGUCAUAAAAUGCCCUUUGAGGGUCAGCUAACCCAUCCCCUUGUUUUAAGGGGAAGAGGCACAGAGCUGUUCGGUCAUCGGCUUGGACUCACACAGCCGGGUGGCGCCACGGCUGGCUGCUCUGGUCUCCUGGCCCUCAGUCCCACUGCCGUUUUCAUUGUCACUGUGACAGCAGGACAGAGAUAGAUUUGGUGGUUUGAUUGGCUGACUAGAAAGAAUAUUUAGUUUCAAGUUUUAAAACUGUUAAGAUGACUAACAUCUGUUUUGGGUUUUUUUGGUCUCCUUUUUGGUUUUUUUCUCACAGGGCUUUCAGCAAUCGUGAGACCGUCUAGUAUAAGACAGAGCACGAAAGGCAUUUUUACUGCUGGCCUGAAGAAGUCAGUGAUUUAUAGUUCACUAAAACUGCACAAAAUGUGGAAAGGGUGGCUGAGGAAAACAUCCUGAUUUUGCUUGCUUUUAUAUAUGUUAUGUGUAGAUGAAUAAAGUGUUUGAUCCUUUUUG
RNAcentral lists this small RNA (2773 nucleotides) under Pan troglodytes (chimpanzee). RNAcentral's name for it is "retained intron". Lineage: Eukaryota; Metazoa; Chordata; Mammalia; Primates; Hominidae. The record is from RNAcentral.